UCGCCCUGUCUGUGCUGCGUGUUUCAGCGUUUGUCUUUUAUAACCACACAGUGAAAACGACUCUCUGUUGUCACCUAAAGAUCAAGCAAGAUCAGUAUCAUCUGAGACACAUCACCGGCUUUCAUGUGCGUUGAAUAGACAGAUAGUCAGAUAGGUGAAUGGACAGACGAACACACACGCACACAUAGAUAGAUAAACAAGGUAGUAAUGCCAGCAACUGAAGAUAAAGUUCCCAUGCGAACGAUCGGAACGCCAGCUACAGAAGCAACAGUGUAUUACCCAACUUCCGGCUUCGAGUGAAUGAGUCUGAGAAGGUGUACAAAACUACACAAGGGGUAUCUGCAGUAGCCGUCUCUAAUUUGGAAACCGUAGACAAGGAGGGUAGCUAAUUAACAGCGCCCAUCGCCAACUCUUGGAUUUCUCUAAUUGUGGAAUUUGACCGUCACUUUUAUAACGCGCUGAUGAUCCCAAAGUGCAGAGUGCACUUUUGCAGCAAUCAUGGACCAUCGGAUUUGAAGUUCAGUACGCUAACUAAUAGGCCACGCCCGCCUUCUCUAAUGUUAAUAUUUAUAAUUAAUAUUUUCAAUCGGAUA
Limulus polyphemus (Atlantic horseshoe crab) is the source of this 593-nucleotide long non-coding RNA. RefSeq lists it as uncharacterized. NCBI's taxonomy places the organism in Eukaryota, Metazoa, Arthropoda, Merostomata, Xiphosura, Limulidae. The transcript has 3 exons. The record is from RefSeq and is a predicted model, not a curated record.